RNAcentral lists this long non-coding RNA (1541 nucleotides) under Gallus gallus (chicken). Its description in RNAcentral is "lncRNA (ENSGALG00010024050.1)". The record is from RNAcentral. Lineage: Eukaryota; Metazoa; Chordata; Aves; Galliformes; Phasianidae.
CCAUUUGCUGCUCUCCUGCAGGCUGCAUCAAUCACGGCUGAAAGGCAGCUGUGGAACUGGAGCCUGCUGGGACAAGAGAAGUGGCAGGGGAGGUGUGAGGGAAUGCAGCAGCCCCUGAACACGACAACUUCUUAAACUGAGAAACUAAGACAUCAUUAGGGGCUAUAAAACAGAGAUGGGUGGAAAGGUGUGACCUGCAAAAUGCCAGGUUUGGAAGACACAUAUGGAGCAACACAGAGAACAGAACUAGGCAGGAACAGGGAGCAGAAACAACGCAUUCUAAUUGUUUUAAUAACCUACAGAAAUUGUUUCUGCUUGGCUUGUGUCAGCCACUCAUGUCUCUGCCACGCACUAUUCAGGAGGCUGGGUGGAAAAACUUCCUAUGGCAUAGCUACAAAUCUGGCAAUCUGUCCCCUUUGUGAGGAAUCCGAAUGACCACAGAAUUGAAGCCCUGAAUCAUCACAGAGUCAGAAAAUCUAGGACUGGGAAACGAGCACAGAAGCUGAAAUAGCAGAACCUACAAGCUCAGGAGCUGGUAUCCUCGUAGCAUCUUCAUAGAAUCCUCCAAGAAUCGAGUCAUAGAAUCUCCGGACUCUAGAAUCAUAGUCUCUAGCAACCCCAUAAUAACCCCACGGUAUCAAAUCACCACAUCUUGUUUCCUCACCCCCACAGAGGGAAACGCUGCACAGAGCAUGCUCACAGUCAGUGGUAUCAGACAGCAUCACCCAGCACCCCUCAUGGAAUGGGCUAUCUACCACAUCAAAGCACUGCCACUUGCAAGUGCUCAGAGGUUCUUUCUCAAAAGAUGGAUUUUUAGGACUAUUUUUCACUCUAAUUUGGAUAGAGGAAAGGAACUGUGGUCUAGAAUCUAUACGAAAGGAAUCCAACGCUGCUGUGCCCACCGCCUCCACAGCUCACGUGACGGUCUUCCACCCGCUGCGUGCCGCCUGGAAUGAUGUUGUGUUGCCCUGAUGAGCUGCUGGGGUUCUGCCUCUGUGAAACGCUCCUCUGGAUGAUACCCCAGGAGCCUCGAGAGGGAAAAAAGAAUGGGGACUCUGUCAGGUCUAGGCACUUGGCAUGCUUGCCUCAAGCCACCUGGCAUCAGUAGGGCAAUGGUGUUCAAAGUAGCACCGUUCCCAGUGCUUCCAGUGUACUGGCUUUAAACUGGAAGUGGGUACAUAUAGGCUAGAUAUUAGGAAGAGAUUUGUUACUGUGUGGACGGUGAGAUACUGGCGCAGGUUGCCCAGAGGGCUUGUGGAUGCCCCCUCCCUGGAGGUGUUCAAGGCCAGGCUGGAUGGGUCUGUGAGCAGCCCGGUCUAGUGGGGGGUGUCCCUGCCUAUAGCAGGGGGUUGGAACUUUGGUGAUCUUAAGGGCCCUUCCAACCCAAACCGCUCUAUGACUCUACAACUAAGAAAAAUGCCUUUACUCUAAAGAUGAUCAGCACUGGACCAAGCUUCCUAUAGAGCUGGUUGAUGCCUCGUGCCUGUCAGUGGUCAAGAGGCAUUUGGAUGAUGUCCUUAGUAAUAUGCCUCGUCUUUUGG